Molecule: ribosomal RNA, 460 nt
Filed under: uncultured bacterium
Lineage: Bacteria
Description: partial 16S ribosomal RNA
Rfam family: Bacterial small subunit ribosomal RNA
Source: RNAcentral
CCUACGGGUGGCAGCAGUGAGGAAUAUUGGUCAAUGGCCGGAAGGCUGAACCAGCCAUGCCGCGUGAAGGUCAGUGCCCUAUGGGCGUUAAACUUCUUUUGUGCGGGAGCAAUAAUGGUCACGUGUGGCCAGACGAGAGUACCGUACGAAUAAGCAUCGGCUAACUCCGUGCCAGCAGCCGCGGUAAUACGGGGGAUGCAAGCGUUAUCCGGAUUUAUUGGGUUUUAAGGGUGCGUAGGCUGUGAGGUAAGUCAGCGGUGAAAUGCCCCGGCUCAGCGGGGUGAAGUGCCAUUGAUACUGCUUUGCUGGAAUGCGAAUGCCGUGGGAGGAAUGUGUGGUGUAGCGGUGAAAUGCAUAGAUAUAACACAGAACACCGAUUGCGAAGGCAGCUCACGAAUCCGCGAUUGACGCUGAUGCACGAAAGCGUGGGUAUCAAACAGGAUUAGAUACCCUUGUAGUC